Molecule: long non-coding RNA, 781 nt
Filed under: Homo sapiens (human)
Lineage: Eukaryota; Metazoa; Chordata; Mammalia; Primates; Hominidae
Description: non-protein coding lnc-AP1S1-3:1
Source: RNAcentral
GGUUUUCCUCUCAGCUAGAGAACAAGUGGCUUUCAGCUGCCUGAGUGCUCAGAGGUUGCAGGGAGGCGGCCUAUUCUGGGAUGGAGGAGAGAUCUGGCUGAGAGGAGACAGCCCUGGCGUGGCUGGCCUAGGUUCCAGGAUUACCCUCUACCCAGUAGAGUGGUGGUGAUGUGGGGUGAACCACUGAACCACCCAAUGUUUACUAAGCACUGUAGCUUAAUCUCCAUAACGCUGUAGGGGAGGGCGGAUUGUUUAGCCAUUUUACAGAAGAGCAAAGUAUAUUCUGAGAAGGCUAUGGACCAGAUCCCAUAGGAAUUUUUUUUUUUUUUUUUUUUUUUUUGAGACAGUCUCUCUCUGUCGCCCAGGCUGGAGUGCAGUGGCGCGAUCUUGGCACACUGCAGCCUCCGCCUCCCGGGUUCAAGCGAUUCUCCGGCCUCAGCCUCCUGAGUAGCUGCACCACCACGCCCAGCUAAAUUUUUUUUUUUUUUUUGAGACGGAGUUUCGCUCUUGUUGCCCAGGCUGGAGUGCGGUCGCGUGAUCUCGGCUCACCGCAACCUCCGCCUCCCGGGAUCAAGAGAUUCUCCUGCCUCAGCCUCCCAAGUAGCUGGGAUUACAGGCAUGUGUCACCACGUCCAGCUAAUUUUUGUAUUUUUAGUAGAGACGGAGUUUCUCCAUGUUGGUCAGGCUGGUUUUGAACUCCCAACCUCAGGUGAUCCACCCGCCUCGGCCUCCCAAAGUGCUGGGAUUACAGGCAUGAACCACCGCACCCGGCCAUGCCCAG